Molecule: ribosomal RNA, 433 nt
Filed under: uncultured bacterium
Lineage: Bacteria
Description: partial 16S ribosomal RNA
Rfam family: Bacterial small subunit ribosomal RNA
Source: RNAcentral
AACGAACGCUGGCGGCAUGCCUAACACAUGCAAGUCGAACGAGACCUCCGGGUCUUGUGGCGCACGGGUGCGUAACGCGUGGGAACCUGCCCUUAGGUUCGGAAUAACUCCCCGAAAGGGGUGCUAAUACCGGAUAAUGUCUUCGGACCAAAGAUUUAUCGCCUUUGGUUGGGCCUGAGUUGGAUUAGCUAGUUGGUAGUGUAAAAGCCUACCAAGGCGAGGUUCCAUAGCUGGUCUGAGAGGAUGAUCAGCCACACUGGGACUGAGACACGGACCAGAAUCCUACGCGAGGCAGCAGUGGGGAAUAUUGGACAAUGGGCGAAGGCCUGAUACAGCAAUGCCGCGUAAGUGAUGAAGGCCUUAGGGUUGUGAAGCUCUUUUACCCGGGGUGAUAAUGACAGUACCGGGAGAAUAAGCACCGGCUAACUCCGUG